GGGGGUGGAGCUCAGGGGCAGAGUGUGUGCUUAGCAUGCAUGAGGUCUUGGGUUCAAUCCCCAGGCCCUCCG
Molecule: transfer RNA, 72 nt
Filed under: Camelus bactrianus (Bactrian camel)
Lineage: Eukaryota; Metazoa; Chordata; Mammalia; Artiodactyla; Camelidae
Also listed under: 2 other names
Rfam family: tRNA
About the family: Transfer RNA (tRNA) molecules are approximately 80 nucleotides in length. Their secondary structure includes four short double-helical elements and three loops (D, anti-codon, and T loops). Further hydrogen bonds mediate the characteristic L-shaped molecular structure. tRNAs have two regions of fundamental functional importance: the anti-codon, which is responsible for specific mRNA codon recognition, and the 3' end, to which the tRNAs corresponding amino acid is attached (by aminoacyl-tRNA synthetases). tRNAs cope with the degeneracy of the genetic code in two manners: having more than one tRNA (with a specific anti-codon) for a particular amino acid; and 'wobble' base-pairing, i.e. permitting non-standard base-pairing at the 3rd anti-codon position.
Source: Rfam by way of RNAcentral